This 432-nucleotide unclassified non-coding RNA is filed under the name Hevea brasiliensis (rubber tree). The record is from RNAcentral. Lineage: Eukaryota; Viridiplantae; Streptophyta; Magnoliopsida; Malpighiales; Euphorbiaceae.
CUUCAGAAUUUGAUCUUUUGAGGAGAAUGGUUGAAAUACUUGGUGGACAACCCCCUGAUUAUCUACUAAAGGAGGCAAAAAAUACUAGCAAAUUCUUUAAGUGUGUUGGAAGUGUCCACAAUGUCGACGGUGGUGAAGUUACCUUUGGUGGCAAAAGUGCUUACCAAGCAUUAACAGUGGAAGAAUACGAAGCUAGAGAAUUGAAAAAACCGUCUAUCGGAAAGGAGUAUUUCCAUCAUAUGAACAUUGAGGCAAUUGUUACAAACUAUCCUUACAGAAAGAAUCUGCCACGUGAAGAUAUGAUGAAAGAGAGUCGAGUACGAUUAGCUUUGAUUGAUUUCUUAAGAGGGCUUGUUGAGUUUGAUCCUGCAACGCAAAGAGGUGGUCCCCUUUUCAGGCUUCGAAACACCCUUUUGUAACGGGGGAGCCUUU